AGAGUUUGAUCAUGGCUCAGAUUGAACGCUGGCGGCAUUUACACAUGCAAGUCGAACGCGUGCUGGGGGCAACUCUGGCAUGAGUGGCGAACGGGUGAGUAAUGCAUCGGAACGUACCCCGUAGUGGGGGAUAACCCGGCGAAAGCCGGGCUAAUACCGCAUAUGCUCUACGGAGGAAAGCAGGGGACCCGCAAGGGCCUUGUGCUAUGGGAGCGGCCGAUGCCCGAUUAGCUUGUUGGUGAGGUAAAGGCUCACCAAGGCGACGAUCGGUAGCUGGUCUGAGAGGAUGAUCAGCCACACUGGGACUGAGACACGGCCCAGACUCCUACGGGAGGCAGCAGUGGGGAAUUUUGGACAAUGGGGGCAACCCUGAUCCAGCCAUGCCGCGUGCGGGAAGAAGGCCUUCGGGUUGUAAACCGCUUUUGGUCGGGAAGAAAAGGCCGCUCUUAAUACGGGUGGUUCUUGACGGUACCGGCAGAAUAAGCACCGGCUAACUACGUGCCAGCAGCCGCGGUAAUACGUAGGGUGCGAGCGUUAAUCGGAAUUACUGGGCGUAANNCGGCGCAGGCGGUUCGCCGUGUCCGAUGUGAAAGCCCCGGGCUUAACCUGGGAAUGGCAUUGGAAACUGGCGGGCUGGAGUAUGGCAGAGGGGGGUGGAAUUCCACGUAGCAGUGAAAUGCGUAGAGAUGUGGAGGAACACCGAUGGCGAAGGCANNCCCCUGGGCCAAUACUGACGCUCAGGCACGAAAGCGUGGGGAGCAAACAGGAUUAGAUACCCUAGUAGUCC
RNAcentral lists this ribosomal RNA (787 nucleotides) under uncultured bacterium. Its description in RNAcentral is "bacterial SSU rRNA". It matches the Rfam family "Bacterial small subunit ribosomal RNA", at positions 8 to 796 of the family's 1533-position model. The record is from RNAcentral.